GAUAGUGAUGAUUUGGCGAGCAUGAAGUGAGGCCAAGUUCCAGGUGUGAAUAACGGCCGUUGAUAGGAUAACAUCGGCGGCGGCGGAACGAACGGCGGUGAUUUCAGGAUCGAUGCAUUUGACAACGAUCCAUUCAUCCUCUGAACUCGAGGCCAUGUUAGAACAACUACGCAAUGAGUAGACUCACCGGUCAAUUUAAUGGAGUUUUAAGACUUGUGCGACACUAAUUUCUACCGUCGCAGCAUCUCCCUACUGUACUUUACGACAAUAGUAGUAUAUGGAAAAUUCGAAGUUUAUUGGUGGCCCGUGUGUAUUUUGGGGAGAUUUAUUUCACCGCAAAUCAUGUAUCUAACGGUAACAAAUUUCUAUCAGGUUUAGUUCGUUUUGUGGAAGGUUAAAAUGAAUAUUUGUCAUUUUUCUGUUUGAAUAUUUUAUUUAUUCUAACGGUAAAACGUUAGAUAUGAUAAAAAUUUAAAAUUCUUUAUAUCAAAUAAUAAUUAUAAUAUAAUAAAUUUAAUAAACUAUCUCAACAUAUGUAUGUUGUGAUAACACAUUUAAAGGAAUAGAAAUAUUUGAAGAAUAUAUUUAUUAUGAAAUAUAAAAUAAUUUAAUAGAAGCUUAUAUCCUUUUCAAGAAUCGUUAAAAGAAGUAAAACAUUUUAGACUAUUAUAACUUACGUCUCAUGUAUAAUUGUUUGUAAGAUACAUUGUUACGUGCUAUUGAUAUUUUAAACAAGCGUUGUUGUGAUUUUUGAAAUGUAUCUUGGACCAGUAAAAACAAGUAUACAUAUUAAGAUUUAAUAUAUAAUUAUAAAAACAAGUAUACAUAUUAAGAUUUAAUAUAUAAUUAUACUCCCCAAAUUAAACGAUUUAAGUGCCUCUUAAUUUGAAUAUCAUCCAGAAAUUCAAAAUGUUUAUUUUACAAGUGGUGCCAAAACCAUGGAUAACAACAGUAUUUCAGCAACAUUGAUUUUCCAGAUCAUAGACGAGACCAGCUCAUCCUCUCACCCAAAUUUACAUUAUAAGCCUAAGACUAAUAACUAGUAUUACACUAGCACCGUAAGAAGUGAUGAUUAUUGCUAGAACGACUCAAAGUUCUCUAACUCCAGAUUCUCACCUGUAGCUCCAAGUUGAUUAGCCCCCUUUCCGGCACGAAGAAUUUUCGGAAGUGACUCAUAAGGCUCUGGUACUUCAGGCGGAACUGCACAUCGAAUCAACGCCCAGUUAAGGCCUUCAAAGAAGGGGUGCUGCUUGAUUUCAGCAGCACCUCUUGAAUAUCCCAAACGGUAUUCAGGUUCCUUCACCAAUAGCCCUCUGAUGAGAUCCCUUGCCUGAAAACUCACAAUAGGGGUGUCUGGAAAUUGCAGGUUCUGCAAUACCACAUUUGCUAAUGUUUCUUCAUUUCCUAUGCCUUUAAAGGGUGUCUUCCCAUACAGAAGCUCGUAAAGAAAUACGCCAAACGUCCACCAAUCAACAGCGCUUCCAUGACCUUCUCCUUUGAUAAUCUCUGGAGCAAGAUAUUCAUGUGUACCAACAAAAGAAUUNGAUGCCUGUUGCGAUGAGCUUUGAUAGUGAUGAUUUGGCGAGCAUGAAGUGAGGCCAAGUUCCAGGUGUGAAUAACGGCCGUUGAUAGGAUAACAUCGGCGGCGGCGGAACGAACGGCGGUGAUUUCAGGAUCGAUGCAUUUGACAACGAUCCAUUCAUCCUCUGAACUCGAGGCCAUGUUAGAACAACUACGCAAUGAGUAGACUCACCGGUCAAUUUAAUGGAGUUUUAAGACUUGUGCGACACUAAUUUCUACCGUCGCAGCAUCUCCCUACUGUACUUUACGACAAUAGUAGUAUAUGGAA
This 1849-nucleotide long non-coding RNA is filed under the name Daucus carota (carrot). Its description in RNAcentral is "long non-coding RNA (DCAR_LNC001743)". Lineage: Eukaryota; Viridiplantae; Streptophyta; Magnoliopsida; Apiales; Apiaceae. The record is from RNAcentral.